UGCCGGAUCGUCUAAGGGCAGGACAACGGUUUUUGGUACCGUCAAUCAAGGUUCGAAUCCUUGUCCGGCAGCCA
This 74-nucleotide transfer RNA is filed under the name Chthonomonas sp. RNAcentral's name for it is "tRNA-Gln". It matches the Rfam family "tRNA". From Rfam's summary of the family: Transfer RNA (tRNA) molecules are approximately 80 nucleotides in length. Lineage: Bacteria; Bacillati; Armatimonadota; Chthonomonadia; Chthonomonadales; Chthonomonadaceae. The record is from RNAcentral.